UACGUAGGUGGCGAGCGUUGUCCGGAUUUAUUGGGUUUAAAGGGUGCGUAGGCGGCCUUGUAAGUCAGUGGUGAAAUACUCCAGCUUAACUGGAGGGGUGCCAAUGAUACUGCAGGGCUUGAGUACAGAUGAGGUAGGCGGAAUUGACGGUGUAGCGGUGAAAUGCAUAGAUAUCGUCAAGAACACCGAUAGCGAAGGCAGCUUACUGGGCUGUAACCGACGCUGAGGCACGAAAGUGUGGGGAUCAAACAGG
Molecule: ribosomal RNA, 253 nt
Filed under: uncultured bacterium
Lineage: Bacteria
Description: partial 16S ribosomal RNA
Rfam family: Bacterial small subunit ribosomal RNA
Source: RNAcentral